Astyanax mexicanus (Mexican tetra) is the source of this 969-nucleotide long non-coding RNA. RefSeq lists it as uncharacterized. The record is from RefSeq and is a predicted model, not a curated record. The transcript is spliced from 4 exons. Lineage: Eukaryota; Metazoa; Chordata; Actinopteri; Characiformes; Acestrorhamphidae.
AUGACAUUUAAUAGUUCUCAUACAUAUUUUCUUGUCCCUUCUCAUUCUCAGAGACAGCGUUGCCAGUCUGAAAAUGACACAACUAAGCCAAGUUGGGGCUCCAGUCAACAGAGAAUGCUCAAACUGAAGGUGGUGCAGUAGUCUGGACAAAGAUUCAUCAUACCCAGAGUGUGCAGUAUUCACCAAAGUUUCAGUAUCUCACACCAAGAUAUCAUCCAUGCAGUUGCAGCAUUCUUCAUAUCAGAGACAACUUUGCCAGUCUGAAAAUGAGACAACUAAGCCAAGUAGAGGCUCCAGUCAACAGAGAAUGCAUAAACUGGAAGUGGUGCAACAGUAUGGGCCAUGAUUCAUAAUACCCAGACUGUGCUGUAUUCCCAAAAGCUUCAGUAUCUUACACCAAGAUAUCAUCCAUGCAGUUGCAGCAUUCUUCAUAUAAGAGACAACGUUGCCAGUGUGUGACAGCUAAGCCAAGUUGAGACUCCAGUCAAUAGAAGAUGCUUAAACUGGAAGUGGUGCAGUAGUCUGGGUGAGGAUUCAUCAUACCCAGAGUGUGCUGUAUUCCCCUAAGUCUCUCACACCAAGAUAUCAUUCAUGCAGCAUUCCUCAUAUAAGUCUGUGAAUAAGACAACUAAGCCAGGCUGAUGCUACAAUGAACAACAGAUGUCUAAACCGGAACAGGUGCUCUCAUGUGGACAAUGACUCAUUAUAGCCAAAUUGAACUGUAAUCGCGAAGGCUAACUCACACUACAUCGACCUAUGCAUGGACAAGUAUUCCACUUACUUCACUUUAAUUUCCUCUUGGAUGCAUCCUUUGCACUUGGACUAUUGGACUAUUACUCUAUGACAACUCCCAACUCUACUACUGUAUUCAAGCUGGCAUGCUAACAAUACAUCUGUUUUAUGUACACUAUAUAAUAAUGUUUAAUCAUACCUGUUAUUGUUUUUAUGGAUUUAAUUUUGCUACUGUCC